AAGUCUUAUAUUCAAAUAAUGAUAUAAAAUUGCAAAUUUUAAGUUAUAACUAAUUUAUGUUAUUAAGGCUU
RNAcentral lists this transfer RNA (71 nucleotides) under Biston thibetaria. RNAcentral describes it as "tRNA-Cys". The record is from RNAcentral. Lineage: Eukaryota; Metazoa; Arthropoda; Insecta; Lepidoptera; Geometridae.